RNAcentral lists this ribosomal RNA (972 nucleotides) under Triticum aestivum (bread wheat). Its description in RNAcentral is "partial small subunit ribosomal RNA". The record is from RNAcentral. Lineage: Eukaryota; Viridiplantae; Streptophyta; Magnoliopsida; Poales; Poaceae.
AUGGCGGAUUUCAUCCCCGUUCCCAUCGUGAUCUCCUCCUCCGAGGAAGAAGAAAACACGUCCCCCACCCAAAACUCCACCCCUCCCCGUGUUUUUGCCUUCCCGGAGCAAGUGGACGCAGCUGAAGUUGAUGAAGAUGAGGAGGAGGAUCCUGAGGAGGUUGAGUUUGAAUCAGGGGAGGAAUCCACUGAUCCGGAUUCAAUCCCUUCUAUGUUUCCUCCUUCACCGCCAAGGCAUCGUCGCGAAUUCUCCAAUGUUUUCAUGCCUUAUGUUCCUCUUGAACACUUUCAAAACCUUGCCCUCGCCUAUGUCAACCCACCACACCCUUCCCCACAAGCCAUGAUCCGUAGGGCCUUGCAAACUGGGGGUGGAGACCCUCAAGUGGCUAUUAGGGCUUCAUCCCAAGGUGCGGGCCUAGUCAUCUUUGGCUCGUCUUAUGAAAGGGAACUUUCUGUCCUCUCUACCCCCUUCCACUGCCCAAUCUACUCUGUCCACCUGGUUCGCCAUGAUGAAACGGACAAUCGCUUCCUUUUUCGCCUUGGCACUGUCUCUGCCUUGAACUUAGAGGAUUUCCCCAUUGAAUAUUGGUUCCCUGAUACUAUAACCAACUCUGUCGUCCCUUUCGCUUGCCCUAUCCAGAUUGAUCCGGUGUGCCUUACAGGGGUUGACUACUCGGCCGUUUUGAUCUCUGUCAAAAGCCGCACCCUCACUGAUGUCCCUCACUCUAUCACAGUUCACGGCUUCUCGGGCCUUGGUGCUAUCGCCUCGGUGUUGGUCGUGCGCUCCGAGGAGCUGCCACCAGACCCGUCUUUCCCUGUCGCCACCGACGACGACGAUAACUCCAACGGUGGCGGGGGGGACGAUGACCACUAUGGCGGUGGAGGGGGUGAUUUCCCGGCCGGGAUGGAUGCGGACUUGGCGCCUCCACCGCCGCCGCCCUCGGAUAUCCACCAUCCGGACCGCGUCGUGUAG